UUAUUGGGCGNNAAGCGCGCGUAGGUGGUUUUUUAAGUNUGAUGUGAAAGCCCNCGGCUCAACCGUGGAGGGUCAUUGGAAACUGGAAAACUUGAGUGCAGAAGAGGAAAGUGGAANUUCCAUGUGUAGCGGUGAAAUGCGCAGAGAUAUGGAGGAACACCAGUGGCGAAGGCGACUUUNUGGUCUGUAACUGACGCUGAUGUGNGAAAGCGUGGGGAUCAAACAGGAUUAGAUACCCUGGUAGUNCACGCCGUAAACGAUGAGUGCUAAGUGUUAGGGGGUUUCCGCCCCUUAGUGCUGCAGCUAACGCAUUAAGCACUCCGCCUGGGGAGUACGACCGCAAGGUUGAAACUCAAAGGAAUUGACGGGGACCCGCACAAGCGGUGGAGCAUGUGGUUUAAUUNGAAGCAACGCGAAGAACCUUACCAAAUCUUGACAUCCUCUGACCCCUCUAGAGAUAGAGUUUUCCCCUUCGGGGGACAGAGUGACAGGUGGUGCAUGGUUGUCGUCAGCUCGUGUCGUGAGAUGUUGGGUUAAGUCCCGCAACGAGCGCAACCCUUAAGCUUAGUUGCCAUCAUUAAGUUGGGCACUCUAAGUUGACUGCCGGUGACAAACCGGAGGAAGGUGGGGAUGACGUCAAAUCAUCAUGCCCCUUAUGAUUUGGGCUACACACGUGCUACAAUGGACAAUACAAAGGGUAGCGAAACCGCGAGGUCAAGCAAAUCCCAUAAAGUUGUUCUCAGUUCGGAUUGUAGUCUGCAACUCGACUAUAUGAAGCUGGAAUCGCUAGUAAUCGUAGAUCAGCAUGCUACGGUGAAUA
RNAcentral lists this ribosomal RNA (820 nucleotides) under uncultured bacterium. RNAcentral describes it as "bacterial SSU rRNA". It matches the Rfam family "Bacterial small subunit ribosomal RNA", at positions 551 to 1368 of the family's 1533-position model. The record is from RNAcentral.